This is a long non-coding RNA of Panicum virgatum (switchgrass), 1142 nucleotides long. RefSeq lists it as uncharacterized. NCBI's taxonomy places the organism in Eukaryota, Viridiplantae, Streptophyta, Magnoliopsida, Poales, Poaceae. The record is from RefSeq and is a predicted model, not a curated record. The transcript is spliced from 10 exons.
GCUGCAUCUAUUUCUUUUCUACUUCUUAUCUGAGUGGCGCUGCUAGAUCUGCCUCAAAUUUUUAUCUUUUCCAGGAAUUCUAGGUUCUCCAAUGUAGCUUCAGUGACAGUCCUCGGUGCCCGCUGCUUUUGGAGCGUUUCUGCUCUUCUUUGGGUUGCCGUUCUCAGCCGUUCUUGUUUCCAGAUCUGCCUACAUAACGCUGUCGCCUGCUGGCUUGCAUAAUCAGCUCUGUAGUGGGAGAUUGCCUACUCCACCGAGCACCACUCGAGUCGCUCAGCACUUCUGCAUCGAUAUUAUCAUUCCUGUCCCAGGAAGCAGAGCUGGAACACGUGCCGUCGUUACAGAAACAUCAUGUUCAUAAACAGGCCUUCUCCAAUUGCACUGCUCCAUGCUGCGGCUUCUCACCAUGGACUGAUGAUGCUAGAUGACAGAUCCAAGCAUGGAAAGUUCCAGUGACAAUAGAUAUUCAUGGUAUACCCUCCCUAUGCAUUUCAGGCUUCCUCUCCAAUCCACGCUGUACUGCUUACAAGACAGUAAUACACACAUUUCCUGUUACUAUGAAAACUAGCUUGUAAACUGUACCUAAAAGAUAUGCUUCCCACUGGCUGAGACCCCCAUACCUUGAGAUACAUCCGGACUAUGACAAUCCACCUCGCAUUGAAGAUCAACAAGAAGAAGAUCCAGAUAUGGUAAGAGAAUGCAAUCUGUAUUUGAAGGUUCACUGCAGCUGAAAUAGAGGAUAAAAAAGGAUGAACAACCCGCCUACUUUCAAUGGCUUCACAUAUUCAGGUGAAACUUCCGAUGAUGAGGACCCAAACGACGCAUACUAUUAUGCAGACUCAGAUCGUGAGCCCAAGAAAUGGUAGUGCAAUGCAUCAGGCCCAAGAACAGCAAAAUCCAGAUCUGCCGCCAGCGAGGAAAUAAAAAACAAUAUCAUUCUCAAGGCUCCAGCUCGUCCUCUGCACCUAUAUAUAUCUAGAUAUAUCUAUAUGUAUGCGUACAUGUAUAUAUGUGCCUGCGCCAGUAUGUGUGUCUACUAUGUUACACGGAUACUGGUACGGGUAUCGGAUACGAUACGUAUUGGAUAUGCGGAUACGCACUUUCCCAAAAAACACUGAUACGGGGAUACGGAUAGAAUAAUU